Molecule: long non-coding RNA, 1385 nt
Organism: Crotalus tigris (Tiger rattlesnake)
Lineage: Eukaryota; Metazoa; Chordata; Lepidosauria; Squamata; Viperidae
Exons: 2
Source: RefSeq, a predicted model, not a curated record
UAGGAAGGUUGAGAACCACUGUCCUAAGCAAUCAGCCUCCAUUUUUUUUCUCCGGGCUUGGAACUGGACCUGAUUUUUCUUUUAACAGUCUCUUACCAUUAACCAUACUGUGUGGCUCUGGUGGGAAAUCAAGUUCAAUAUUUGGAGAUCUGUACCUGCCCGCUUUUAACUUCUCCUUUCAUCUAUUCCUGCUUUUCCCCUGUUUGCCCUAAAAUUUCAUUGAUAUUAAAGUGUCUGCUUUCAGUAAAGCUUUGGAAGUUGGAAAUCAUUCCUUGUUAUCUGAUAUAUCUCAGAUAUUCAGUUUACAGUUAUUAUAAGCUUCUAAAAGUCAUUUUUGUUUUAUUUAUUUUUGCUGGAACGGAAAGGAAUUGAGAUCUUGGUUUAAUUCCAUCGGCCACUGAACUGUGAAAUACUUGGAUACUUGCUUGCCAGCCUUUUACCUUUAGCUUACACAAGGGUUAUUUUUUGUCUUUUAGUGCAAAGCUUAUAUCAUAAAAGAACCUCAUAAGAGCUUGAUGUCUCAGCUUGUGAAAGAAUGUGGAAUUGUUUGCUUGUAGUGUCUGUUUGGUUGUUGUCAUCUGUAAUAGAAUAGACAGUGCCUGUUGGAGACUAAAAAGCUAACAAUGGCUUUCAACAAUGUUCUUACAGACUUUUUCCACAUUUAAAAAGUAAUAGUUAAAAUUAUAUCUGAACCUCAUGCUACUUUCUCAAACCCAUUUUUAUCAGCUAACUAGGACUCUUCUUCCAAAUAGAUAUUUAAAAGUGCAGCCAAGUAAAAAGAAAAAGAAGGAAAAAAUAAAAAUUAAAAAAAAAAAAGAUUACAAGCUGUGCAAAAUUAAUUUUUUAAUUAACUAUAGUUCUGUGUUUAAAGAUGAUCUUAUAUCAGUGUACUACUUUAAAACUUGUUAUCAAUAAUUAGGAAAGGCAACCAAUAUGUUAUGAAUAAUCAGAAUGAACAAUUAAUAGCAAUUUGGGAUGAAUCUGAUAGCAUCUGUAGUUAUUAUAACAAGUAAGCAAAAUCUUUUUUAAAAAGUCUUAUGCUAAAGGAAACUCAAACUUCAGAUGUAGUUUAAGUCCAUGUCCAGAAUUAUAGUUUAUAAAUGGUUUCUAUUUUCUGAAUUAAGUUUAAACUCAGUAUCAGAUUUAUUUGAUUUGUUUUAAUACAGGAUUAUAUAUGACACUAAGACACAUUCCGUAUCUUGGGAACCUAUAUUGGAGCUAUCCUUGCUGGGGUAUGAAAUGUACACUUUCCCAACAAGGGCUAAGCCAAAUCUAGAGAAACAUAAAGAAAAAAACCUUGGGAAAUGGGCAUGGUGAUACAAAGUGCCAGUGUCCAGUAUCAUUGUCAUAAGAUUUUUUCUGGGCCUCCACAGUCCCCAAGACAA